GUGCUACUGACGGUUGCUCUAGAUCCGUUCAUCCUGGUGGUUUUGUGAGGUCGAAAGCGGCGAGCGAAUUAGAAGAUGCUGGACAAGCUGUGGGACGACGUGGUGGCCGGGCCUCGCCCGGAGACGGGCCUCGAGAAGCUCCGCAAGGCCACCACCGCCCGCCCGCUCGUCAUCAACAAAGACGCGGACGGCGGCAGCUACAAGCGGGCGCAGUCGAUGCCGUCGACCCCGACGACGCCGGUGACGCCGUCGUCGUCGUCGUCGUCGACGACGCCGCGCGGCGCCGGCAACGUGUGGCGCAGCGUCUUCCACCCGGGGAGCAACCUGGCCACCAAGGGCAUGGGCGCCAACCUCUUCGACCGGCCGCAGCCCAACUCCCCCACCGUCUACGACUGGCUCUACAGCGACGAGACCAGGAGCAACCACCGCUAGAUCGGGCGAGAUGGAUGGACAGUGAAGAGGCCAUGUUUGCUGGUCCUUGUGGUUAUCUAAAACGCACGCAUGCUCUAUUAUAGCUAGUCAUCACUAUAUAUAUACUUGUGUUUGUGUAUUGUUGUUCUUGUUCUGCUGGUGUCUCCGCCGUUUAAUUUGACCUAUGUUAUGGAGUGAGUGAUAUAUGUGCCGUCACUCCUAGUAUAUAGUAGUGAGUGACUAGUUGGUAUGUGUAGUACUGUACUAUCUUUUCUCCAUAUGCAUGUUUUGCCAGCGCGUAAUGAAUGUAAUGUCAG
This 728-nucleotide unclassified non-coding RNA is filed under the name Zea mays. RNAcentral describes it as "misc RNA Zm00001eb043260". Lineage: Eukaryota; Viridiplantae; Streptophyta; Magnoliopsida; Poales; Poaceae. The record is from RNAcentral.